Molecule: ribosomal RNA, 500 nt
Filed under: uncultured bacterium
Lineage: Bacteria
Description: partial 16S ribosomal RNA
Rfam family: Bacterial small subunit ribosomal RNA
Source: RNAcentral
GACGAACGCUGGCGGCGUGCUUAACACAUGCAAGUCGAACGGGCCUGUCUUCUUUUUUGGGGGGUGGGUUGAGUGGCGGACGGGUGAGUAUCACGUGAGUAACCUGCCCUUCGGUCCUGGAUAACCGCUUGAAAGGGCGGCUAAUACGGGGUGGUCCGGUUGGUCCGCAUGGGCUGGUCGGGAUAGAUUCACUGUUUUUGGUGUUUCGGCGGGGGAUGGGCUCGCGGCCUAUCAGCUUGUUGGUGGGGUGAUGGCCUACCAAGGCGGUGACGGGUAGCCGGCCUGAGAGGGUGGGCGGCCACACUGGGACUGAGAUACGGCCCAGACUCCUGCGGGAGGCAGCAGUGGGGGGUAUUGCACAAUGGGCGGAAGCCUGAUGCAGCGACGUCGCGUGAGGGAGGGAGGCCUUCGGGUUGUGAACCUCUGUUUCCGGUGGUGAAGGCCCUGUCCGUGUGGUGGGGUUGACGGUAGCCGGGGAUGAAGCGCCGGCUAACUACGUG